CCUACGGGUGUCAGCAGUGAGGAAUAUUGGUCAAUGGGCGCGAGCCUGACCCAGCCAAGUCGCGUGAAGGAUGACUGCCCUACGGGUUGUACACUUCUUUUAUAAAGGAAUAAAGUGAGGCACGUGUUCCUUUUUGUAUGUACUUUAUGAAUAAGGCUCGGCUAACUCCGUGCCAGCAGCGGCGGUAAUACGGAGGAUCCGAGCGUUAUCCGGAUUUAUUUGGUUUAAAGUGAGCGUAGAUGGGUUGUUAAGUCAGUUGUGAAAGUUUGCGGCUCAACCGUAAAAUUGCAAUUGAUACUGGCAGUCUUGAGUACAGUUGAGGUAGGCGGAAUUCGUGGUGUAGCGGUGAAAUGCUUAGAUAUCACGAAGAACUCCGAUGGCGAAGGCAGCUAACUAAACUGCAACUGACAUUGAGGCGCGAAAGUGUGGGUAUCAAACAGGAUUAGAUACCCUUGUAGUC
This 460-nucleotide ribosomal RNA is filed under the name uncultured bacterium. Its description in RNAcentral is "partial 16S ribosomal RNA". It matches the Rfam family "Bacterial small subunit ribosomal RNA", at positions 338 to 795 of the family's 1533-position model. The record is from RNAcentral.